This is a long non-coding RNA of Homo sapiens (human), 1585 nucleotides long. Ensembl annotates it as long intergenic non-protein coding RNA 1139. NCBI's taxonomy places the organism in Eukaryota, Metazoa, Chordata, Mammalia, Primates, Hominidae. The record is from Ensembl.
GCAGCGGGGAGGAGCCUGGCCUCUCUUCUUUCUGUGUGGAACCUGGAAUUCAAGCUGUGGGUGAGAAGCUCUCUAGCAGGGACUCUGACCUUAUGGAGGAUCGCUGUUUCCCCCAUUUUUCCUUUUCACCCAAAAAAGUCCUGCUUCUCUCACCCUUCAAACAGCCUGUGAGCCUAAAUUUUUGUGGCCAUGGGACAGACAAGGACCCCGUCUUCAGCUGAACUAAGGAAAAGUCCUGCGACAUCUUUGGUACGCACUGUGGAGGCUCUACAAACAGCCAUCAAACUCCAACCAGUCACCCAACCAGAGCCUCUGAGGAUGGCCCCUUCUGCGGGGAACCCUUACAUGGGCCUCUGACUGAUGCUUCCCCAAAACAGUGCCCCCUGUCAUCAGGAAGCAGUUAACACUGGUCUUCAUUCUUACGCUUAUCCUUAUUCUAACAGCAGUUAUAUGUACUUCUUUAGACGGGGGAAUAAGACAGCCAGGUGGGAGGGGGUCUCUGGAAAACUCCAUCUGGCCUGUGCACUAGGGUGGAACCUCAGGAAGUUGAUGACAUUUGUAGCUGGGAGCAGCCUGGCCCCUCCUCUUCCUGUGUGGAACCUGAAAUUCCACCGGCUUGGCAGGAAGCGCUCUAGCAGGGACUCCGGCUUUGCAGAGCAUCCCUGUUUCCCCGUUUUUCCCUUUUCACCCAAUAAAACCCUGCUUCACUCACCCUUCAAACCAUCUGCAAGCCUAAAUUUUUGUGGCUGUGGGACGGACAAAGAUGCCUUUAGCUGACUGAGGAAAAGUCCUGCAACACAGGUAUCACUGCACAUUUAUAAUAUUGUUUCUCUGUUUUAAACCUUGUAUAAAUAGGAAAAUAUUGUAUAUAAUCUCAAGCAGAUUGUUUUCUUUUGAAAAGUAUUCAUAUAUGUUAAAGAUGUAGUUCUAGUUCAUUCAUUUUCUCUGUUUUGACUCUUUUAUACAUAUACUACAGCUCAUUUAUCCAUUUUCCUACUGUUGCAACAUAGAUUGCUUAUAAUUCUUCUAAUUACUAACAAUGCUGGUAUGAAAUUGUUGUGUAUAUCUCUGGUAGAUAUGUGUUAUUUCUUUUUUGCAAUGCUAGAUUAUAAUUAUUUGUCUAAGGUGGAGAUUACCAGGGUAGACUCGCUCUGGCCGUAUGUAAUGAUGUCUGUGGCUACAUAACCUGCCAACACUUAGUCUUAUCACACAUUUUAUUUUAAAAUCAAUAUGUAAAAAAUACUAAUUUACUUGGUAGUAAUUUAAAUUUUUCUGAUUAUUACUGAGGUUGAAUAUGUUUUCAUAUGUUUACUGAAUAUUCCUGUUAAUUUUCUCAUGAAUUUCAGUUAAUGUUUCUGUUGAUUUUAUUAAUUUGUAGUGGUUUUGAAACAUAUUCUAGAAACCAAUAUUUUGUCUGUUGUAUGUGUUACAAAUAUAUUUAUUUUGUAUAGCUUCUUCAUAUUUAGUACUUUUACAAUUUUAACAGUAAAAUUAGUUUCAUGUUUUAUAGCUAUAAUUAUUAUAACUUUUAAAUAAAUAUUUCCUCAAUUAAAAUAAAAAUGCAUUAUCCUUAAUUUUCUUCGAA